RNAcentral lists this ribosomal RNA (396 nucleotides) under uncultured bacterium. RNAcentral describes it as "bacterial SSU rRNA". It matches the Rfam family "Bacterial small subunit ribosomal RNA", at positions 29 to 416 of the family's 1533-position model. The record is from RNAcentral.
AGUGAACGCUGGCGGCGUGCUUAACACAUGCAAGUCGAGCGAGAUCUGACAGCACACCGUCAGGUCUAGCGGCAGACGGGUGAGUAAUAUUUGGGCAAUCUGCCCUUGAGUGGGGGACAACCUGCCGAAAGGCGGGCUAAUACCCCAUAAGACCACAGGGAUGCAUAUUCCAGGGGUCAAAGCUCCGCAAGGGGCGCUUAAGGAGGAGCCCGAAUCCUAUCANGGUAGUUGGCGAGGUAAUGGCCCACCAAGCCGUUGACGGGUAGCCGGCCUGAAAGGGCAACCGGCCACACUGGCACUGAGACACGGGCCAGACUCCUACGGGAGGCAGCAGUGGGGAAUUUUGGACAAUGGGGGCAACCCUGAUCCAGCGACGCCGCGUGAAGGAUGAAGGUC